This 500-nucleotide ribosomal RNA is filed under the name uncultured bacterium. RNAcentral describes it as "partial 16S ribosomal RNA". It matches the Rfam family "Bacterial small subunit ribosomal RNA", at positions 29 to 523 of the family's 1533-position model. The record is from RNAcentral.
AUUGAACGCUGGCGGCAUGCUUUACACAUGCAAGUCGAACGGUAACAGGGUGCUUGCACCGCUGACGAGUGGCGAACGGGUGAGUAAUGCGUCGGAACGUGCCGAGUAGUGGGGGAUAACGCAGCGCAAGUUGUGCUAAUACCGCAUACGUACUGAGGUAGAAAGUGGGGGACCUUCGGGCCUCACGCUAUUCGAGCGGCCGACGUCGGAUUAGCUAGUAGGUGGGGUAAAGGCCCACCUAGGCGACGAUCAGUAGCGGGUCUGAGAGGAUAACCCGCCACACUGGGACUGAGACACGGCCCAGACCCCUACGGGAGGCAGCAGUGGGGAAUUUUGGACAAUGGGCGAAAGCCUGCUCCAGCCAUGCCGCGUGUCUGAAGAAGGCCUUCGGGUUGUAAAGGACUUUUGUCGGGGAGGAAAUCCCCAGCGUUAAUACCGCUGGGGGAUGACAGUACCUGAAGAAUAAGCACCGGCUAACUACGUGCCAGCAGCCGCGGUAA